AGUCACUGACAUUAGAUACCCGCGUAGUCCAGGGUGUAAACGCUGCAGACUUGGUGUUGGAAGUCCUUUGGGGGCAUUCAGUGCCGGAGAGAAGUUGUUAAGUCUGCUACUUGGGGAGUACGUCCGCAAGGAUGAAACUUAAAGGAAUUGGCGGGGAGCACCACAACGGGUGGAGCCUGCGGUUUAAUUGGACUCAACGCCGGAAAUCUCACCGGAUAGGACAGACAUAUGAUAGUCGGGCUGAAGACUCUACUUGAUGAUCUG
Molecule: ribosomal RNA, 264 nt
Filed under: uncultured archaeon
Lineage: Archaea
Description: partial 16S ribosomal RNA
Rfam family: Archaeal small subunit ribosomal RNA
Source: RNAcentral